GAUGAGAAUAAUAAAGAUUAACCACUGCAAAAAAUCCUGCAACAUAUGCUCAGGAAAAGGUAGUUCUAAACGUUUCUAUAAUUUGCUUUAGACAUUAUUGAAAAUGUAAAAAGUUGGAAUUAUAGAAAAACCGUUUUUUGUGUGUAUUCUCUCAAGAAGACUGCAGAUUAAGUUACAGUAUUAUCUUCUCUUUCUAUCUACAACCCAUUUUUUGCAAAAAACUUGCAAACGAAGGAUUUUGUCAAGACUUCCGAACUGAUACAUAUAUGAUGGAUAACUGCAGAAAAACAUGCAAACUUUGUACAAAAGGUUUAAACCUCACAGAAAACCAGAUAAUUCUGAGUAAAGGAACAGCAAAAGGCAAAGGCAAAAGAAAUGGCAACGGAAAAGAUGAUCCAAUGAAAAGACGCAAGUGUUGAUGAACAGUGUUGAUGCACAAAUGAAAGCUUCAUCACUCUUCCAGAGAGCAGGGAGUUAACUGUAUUAAUCCAAAGUGAAUGAACACACACGCAUAAAGCACGUAAUCAGAAGUGUGAUUGAAAAUGAAUUUACUUUUUAACAUUUUGCAAACUUUGUAACCUUAAUUAGUCAUCAUAUCAACAUGUAGCAA
Hydractinia symbiolongicarpus is the source of this 610-nucleotide long non-coding RNA. RefSeq lists it as uncharacterized. The record is from RefSeq and is a predicted model, not a curated record. NCBI's taxonomy places the organism in Eukaryota, Metazoa, Cnidaria, Hydrozoa, Anthoathecata, Hydractiniidae. The transcript is spliced from 3 exons.